Molecule: ribosomal RNA, 207 nt
Filed under: uncultured bacterium
Lineage: Bacteria
Description: partial 16S ribosomal RNA
Rfam family: Bacterial small subunit ribosomal RNA
Source: RNAcentral
CACAUAGGCGGCCUGUUAAGUGUGGAGUGAAAUCCCACGGCUCACCCGUGGAACUGCUUCGCAUACUGGCAAGCUCGAGGACGGUAGGGGAGAGCGGAACUCUUGGUGGAGCGGUGAAAUGCGUAGAUAUCAAGAGGAACACCGAUGGCGAAGGCAGCUCUCUGGUCCGUUUCUGACGCUGAGGUGCGAAAGCUAGGGUAGCGAACG